AUGCUGCUGGGAGCAGGGCCUGGGCCCACGGCGGCUGCAGGCGCCCUGGUGGGGGAAGGGGUGACGUCCCGCCAGACGGGCCGCCUGCAGACGGGCCUGGUGACCGGUUCCCAGUGGACAGAGCUGGAGGGGCUCCCAGGACACAGGACGGCACGGCAGCCAGUCCAUCCGGUGGCCAACAGCCUGACACUCCCCCGGGAGCUCGGCCUGCACCGAGAGCAGGGGGUGGCCUCGGGGACAGUGGUGGUAGUGCCCGCUGCCCUGUCCCUUCCUGGCUAUCACACGACCACAGUGCAUACCAAGGGCUCACCGAGGCAGCUGGUGGCAUUGAGGAGAGAGGCCACGAGCCAGCAGCAGAGGCCAGGGGUCUCCACCCAGCAUCCAUCCAUCUACCCCUUGAGGACCUGUUGCAUAAAAGAAACCUCUGUGGCCCUGGGCUGCCUGGUCAAGGACUACUUCCCAGGGUCAGUGGCUGUGACCUGGGACACAGUGCCCCUGAAUGGGAGCACCCUGACCUUCCCUAGCAUCCAAAUGGCGAACUCCAGUCUCUACGUCACCACCAGCCAGCUGACCGUCUCGGGCGAGCAGCCCAAGCAGUUCACCUGCAGUGUUUUCCACGCUGAGACUAACGUCACUGCCAUGAAGACCGUCAGCACUGAGUGCGCCAAGAACUUCAGCGACCCCUCGGUGAGGCUCUUCUACUCCUCCUGUGACCCCAGCGGCGACACCCACACCACCAUCCAGCUCCUGUGCCGGAUCUCCGGCUACACCCCAGGCAAGAUCAAGGUCACCUGGCUGGUGGACGGGCACGAGUCCAAAGAACUGUAUGCACAGCCCGGCCCCGAGAUACAGGAGGGCAAUCUGACCACCACCUACAGCGAAGUCAACAUCACACAGGGCCAGUGGGUGUCCGAGAAAACCUACACCUGCCGGGUCAACUAUUACGGCUUCAACUACGACAACCACGCCCGCAGGUGCACAGCCGAGUCUGAGCCCCGCGGCGUGAGCACCUACCUGAUCCCACCCACCCCCCUCGAGCUGUACGUCAACAAGUCGCCCAAGAUCACCUGCCUGGUUGUGGACCUGGCCAGCAAGAAUAACUUGAGCCUGACCUGGUCGAGAGCAAACGGGAAACCUGUGCACGCAGACCCCGUCGACAUCAAGCGUCAGUUCAACGGGACGAUCACCGUCACGUCCACCCUGCCGGUGGACGUCAUUGACUGGGUUGAAGGCGAGACCUACUACUGCAAAGUGAGCCAUGGCGACCUGCCCAAGGAUAUCCAGAGAUCCAUCUCCAAGGAUGUUGGCAAGCGUGUGGCCCCCAAGGUCUACGUGUUCUGGCCAGACAGAAAGGAGCUGGAGAAUCAGGAGGAGCUCACCCUCACCUGCCUGAUCCAGAAAUUCUUCCCCAAGGACAUCUCUGUGCGGUGGCUGCGUAACAAGAAACUGAUGCGGGAAGGCCAGCACACCACCACACAGCCCGACAGGGCCGACAACAACAGCCUCACCUUCUUCACCUACAGCCGCCUGGCGGUCCCCAAGGCCAGCUGGAAGAUGGACGAUGAGUUCACCUGCCAAGUGAUCCACGAGGCACUGCCCAAGACUAGGACCCUGGAGAAAUCGGUGUUCAUUAACAGCGGUAAAUAA
This is a non-coding RNA of Budorcas taxicolor (takin), 1647 nucleotides long. The record is from the annotation of a RefSeq genome assembly. NCBI's taxonomy places the organism in Eukaryota, Metazoa, Chordata, Mammalia, Artiodactyla, Bovidae.